UUUAAUAAAUUAAAAAAAAAACUAAAACUAAUUAUUUUAAAAACAAAAAACAAAAACCCAACAGCCACAAAAGCUCCCCAUCUAGCCACCCGAUCCUACCCCGCCGGCGGAGACCUCCUCCCCCUUGCCGCCGAUAAAUACUCCUUUCCUCUUUAUCUCUCUCUAUCUUUCUAUCUCUUUUGUCUCUCUCUCUCUGUGUCUCUAUGUGCCGAUCCAGAUCUGGAUCCCAAGAUCUAUGUGUAAAUGAUGAGUAACAACAACAGCAACUGAUGGUCCAAACAACUAUCACAAGAGAUCAUGUAAUUGAUUCUACAACGAUGAGAUUGACUGCGAGACAGACUAUGUUGUUGGGGUUUUGAAGAAGAGCAAGAUGGGUGUUAUUCUUGCCGACGGCUUGAAGAUGAGAUUGACUAUGUUGUUGGGGUUUUGAGUUUGGGGAAGAAAAGAGUGGGAAAAGAAAAGAAAUUGACUACGCUGUUCUCAUGGACCGUGGUCCAUCUGUAAAUUGUUCAUUGUUAGUUAGCUUUAUGAGGUAGUUUAAAUCAAGCUGUGAUUCGCAGCUUCUAAAGUUUAUUGGGAUAAAUUAUAGCUUUCCAACUAUGGCCUUUGCAAUGAUUGAUCUCAUGCCAGCUUUUACCUUCAUUCAUGCUGUCAUCACUGGGUAAAUACUAAAUAUACAAUUACUGUCCCAAAUUGAUGAAUAUAUUUUCUUUUUUUAUGAUAAAUAUGUUUUGGUUUUUAGGAUGGAAAUUCUAGAUUUGAGAAUUACCAGUAGACAUGCGAACAAUGGUGUCAAUCUCAGGGGCAAAGUGCUUCCGGCGAGCAGAGGGAGGUUGCUGUCGGCAGGGUCGGGGUGGCUGACCAGGUUGGGUGGGUGGGGGAGCUUUGGUUGAAUUAAUUUAAUAGUGGGGGACAGCUAAAGGGUAUUUUAGGUAUAAUAGUGGGUGGAAAGAUAGGAUUAUUUUUUUUUCAAAUUUAUGUAAGAGUGUGUAUUUAGGGAUAGUUUAGAAAGAUAGUUGAAUUUUCUUAGAAAUUGUGAAAUUUUGAAUUAGAAAUUGGGGUGAACAAAGAGAAGUGCGAGGUUUAAAUAGAAAAACUCUCUGUUUGGUUCACAUAACAAAUUU
RNAcentral lists this long non-coding RNA (1124 nucleotides) under Prunus dulcis (almond). Its description in RNAcentral is "sRNA ncRNA". The record is from RNAcentral. Lineage: Eukaryota; Viridiplantae; Streptophyta; Magnoliopsida; Rosales; Rosaceae.